Molecule: ribosomal RNA, 224 nt
Filed under: uncultured bacterium
Lineage: Bacteria
Description: partial 16S ribosomal RNA
Rfam family: Bacterial small subunit ribosomal RNA
Source: RNAcentral
CGGCCUGUUAAGUCAGAUGUGAAAGACCCGGGGCGUUAACCUCGGAAAUUGCAUUUGAAACUGGCAGGCUAGAGUCUUGUAGAGGGGGGUAGGAAGUUUCAGGUGUAGCGGUGAAAUGCGUAGAGAUCUGAAGGAAUACCAGUGGCGAAGGCGGCCCCCUCGGACAAAGACUGACGCUCAGAUGCGAAAGCGUGGGGAGCAAACAGGAUUAGAUACCCUGGUAG